AGCUUCAGUAGCGUUUAUUAAAGUUGUUGCAGUUAAAAAGCUCGUAGUCGCAUUUCUGGCGAGAGGAUCCGGUCCGACCUUUUGGUGGGUUCUUGGGUCUCUUUCGCCAUCCUUGAGUGGUCCGUUCUGGCAUUAGGUUGUCGGAGCGUCAGCCGCUCAUCGUUUACUGUGAGAAAAUUAGAGUGUUCAAAGCAGGCUUAUGCCGUUGAAUAUAUUAGCAUGGAAUAAUAAGAUAGGACCUCGGUACUAUUUUGUUGGUUUGCGCACCAAGGUAAUGAUGAACAGGGACAGUUGGGGGUAUUUGUAUUUCGUUGUCAGAGGUGAAAUUCUUAGAUUUACGAAAGACAAACUACUGCGAAAGCAUUUACCAAGAAUGUUUUCA
Molecule: ribosomal RNA, 382 nt
Filed under: uncultured marine Chaetocerotaceae
Lineage: Eukaryota; Bacillariophyta; Thalassiosirophyceae; Chaetocerotales; Chaetocerotaceae
Description: SSU rRNA
Rfam family: Eukaryotic small subunit ribosomal RNA
Source: RNAcentral